Schistocerca cancellata (South American locust) is the source of this 314-nucleotide long non-coding RNA. RefSeq lists it as uncharacterized. The record is from RefSeq and is a predicted model, not a curated record. The transcript is spliced from 3 exons. NCBI's taxonomy places the organism in Eukaryota, Metazoa, Arthropoda, Insecta, Orthoptera, Acrididae.
GCGUAUAUGAAGACAACAACGACGUGAUUAUCUCAUACACCACUCGAGACGCUGCUGUUUACCUGUGGACGACUGAAAUGCCGCCUCCUGCCUGCUGUGCAACUUGCUGCGGGACCACCGAGCCCUGCAAAGCUGAUUGUAAAUGCGGCUCCUCUUGCACUUGUACAAAAUGCCCCUGCGGGACCAAAGACUCCAGUGGCUCGAAGUAAACGAGGUAUGAUGACCUUCCUGCCGUCUGUUAACAGAAGUAAUUGCUUAAGUGACGUUUACAUCUAGAAACAAGAAAUUGUGAUCAAUAAAACGCUUAAAAUGUG